AUGUCUUAAAAUUUCAUAGCACUCCCCUUGAUAAGGAUGGAAGAUGCUCUUGGACCUGACAACACACAUAUGGUUAAGGCAUUGCCACCUACUUCGUGGCAUCUAACCAUCGUUUUAG
This 118-nucleotide non-coding RNA is filed under the name Pongo abelii (Sumatran orangutan). The record is from RNAcentral. Lineage: Eukaryota; Metazoa; Chordata; Mammalia; Primates; Hominidae.